This 434-nucleotide ribosomal RNA is filed under the name uncultured Lachnospiraceae bacterium. Its description in RNAcentral is "partial 16S ribosomal RNA". It matches the Rfam family "Bacterial small subunit ribosomal RNA", at positions 341 to 792 of the family's 1533-position model. The record is from RNAcentral. Lineage: Bacteria; Bacillati; Bacillota; Clostridia; Lachnospirales; Lachnospiraceae.
ACGGAAGGCAGCAGUGGGGAAUAUUGCACAAUGGGCGAAAGCCUGAUGCAGCGACGCCGCGUGAGUGAAGAAGUAUCUCGGUAUGUAAAGCUCUAUCAGCAGGGAAGAAAAUGACGGUACCUGACUAAGAAGCCCCGGCUAACUACGUGCCAGCAGCCGCGGUAAUACGUAGGGGGCAAGCGUUAUCCGGAUUUACUGGGUGUAAAGGGAGCGUAGACGGUUUGGCAAGUCUGAAGUGGAAUGCGGGGGCUCAACUCCUGAACUGCUUUGGAAACUGUCGAACUAGAGUGCAGGAGAGGUAAGUGGAAUUCCUAGUGUAGCGGUGAAAUGCGUAGAUAUUAGGAGGAACACCAGUGGCGAAGGCGGCUUACUGGACUGUAACUGACGUUGAGGCUCGAAAGCGUGGGGAGCAAACAGGAUUAGAUACCCUGGUA